UUUUAGCCCCGAUUGCAGUGGAAAUCCUCGCCUUUUUUGGCGAGAUUGCAACGGAAAGCGGGAAAAUGG
This 69-nucleotide small RNA is filed under the name Flavobacterium lacus. RNAcentral describes it as "Flavo-1 RNA". It matches the Rfam family "Flavo-1 RNA". The record is from RNAcentral. Lineage: Bacteria; Pseudomonadati; Bacteroidota; Flavobacteriia; Flavobacteriales; Flavobacteriaceae.